Maniola jurtina (meadow brown) is the source of this 160-nucleotide long non-coding RNA. RefSeq lists it as uncharacterized. The record is from RefSeq and is a predicted model, not a curated record. The transcript has 3 exons. Lineage: Eukaryota; Metazoa; Arthropoda; Insecta; Lepidoptera; Nymphalidae.
AGGUUCUGAUAGUUAAGCUUUGUGAUGUUACUGUAAAAUGUUAAUAUUACUUUAUGGAUAUCACUUUUUACACUAAAAGAAAUAAAGUUCGUGUUUUAUUAUUUCGCUUUUAUUCCGAACUAAUUCACUCACACCCGGCUGGUACCUACGCGAUUUUGAU